AGCGGAUGAGGGUAGCUUGCUACCUGAUUCAGCGGCGGACGGGUGAGUAAUGCCUAGGAAUCUGCCUGGUAGUGGGGGACAACGUUUCGAAAGGAACGCUAAUACCGCAUACGUCCUACGGGAGAAAGUGGGGGAUCUUCGGACCUCACGCUAUCAGAUGAGCCUAGGUCGGAUUAGCUAGUUGGUGGGGUAAAGGCUCACCAAGGCGACGAUCCGUAACUGGUCUGAGAGGAUGAUCAGUCACACUGGAACUGAGACACGGUCCAGACUCCUACGGGAGGCAGCAGUGGGGAAUAUUGGACAAUGGGCGAAAGCCUGAUCCAGCCAUGCCGCGUGUGUGAAGAAGGUCUUCGGAUUGUAAAGCACUUUAAGUUGGGAGGAAGGGCAGUAAGUUAAUACCUUGCUGUUUUGACGUUACCGACAGAAUAAGCACCGGCUAACUCUGUGCCAGCAGCCGCGGUAAU
Molecule: ribosomal RNA, 464 nt
Filed under: uncultured bacterium
Lineage: Bacteria
Description: bacterial SSU rRNA
Rfam family: Bacterial small subunit ribosomal RNA
Source: RNAcentral